RNAcentral lists this long non-coding RNA (808 nucleotides) under Salvia miltiorrhiza (redroot sage). RNAcentral's name for it is "long non-coding RNA (SMIL_LNC008405)". Lineage: Eukaryota; Viridiplantae; Streptophyta; Magnoliopsida; Lamiales; Lamiaceae. The record is from RNAcentral.
CACACACUCUGUUGUUUAACUUUUCGUUUGAGCUAAUGUAAAGCAAUUCAUAACUCAACAAGCCUGUCAAGCCACACACUCUACUGAUAUAUAUAAACCAUGGGCUUUAUGAACUAAAAUCCUCCUAUAAACCUUUUCAAUUAACUCAAUAAAGAAGAGAUAAACAUAUAAGCCUACAACCUAUGCAGUACCAAAUGAGCAAGAUAAAAUAACCAUAUUUAGGGAGUGCAAUAGAGAACCUGAUAUUCGAUGCGAACAAUCAGUCGAAGUAUCAAUUAGAAAAACAAACAUAAAUUUACACUCACAUCAUUCAUCAUAUGCAUCAAACACAAAUUCAAAACUCAAAAUACAAAAGAAGACUGAUUACCAAUGUAUUAAAACAACAAACCACCACCAAAAUCGAGAAAAAAGCCCCUUUGAAACCCUAAAAUCAAUUCGAGCAAAAACCAAAUCAAUACCUGUAAUAAACAUAAUCAGUGGUGGCGGUAGUUGGUGGCAUGGCGGCGGGAGCAACAUCAUCGCCGGGUCUCGACUGGAGAAGAAAGAAUGUCGAUGGCGCUGUGGGAAGACCUGCGAGAAAAAGAAAGAGAGGCUGAAAUUAAGUGGGAGAGAGAAACUGACUGAAAGAGGAAGAGAAGGGCGAGAGAGACUGCAAUCUGCAACAGUCGACGGCGGUGGAUGGGCGACGACGGCGGCAGGGAACGCAAGUAAGGGACGUGAAAGAGUUGAGGAACAACAGUGUGAGAAUGAUAAUUAAAACACAAUGCAACAUUUAUUUUAAUUUAUGGCAUUUAAUAGAAGUGUAACU